ACUCAAAGGAAUAGACGGGGGCCCGCACAAGCGGUGGAGCAUGUGGUUUAAUUCGAUGCAACGCGAAGAACCUUACCUACCCUUGACAUCCUAGGAAUAUUGCAGAGAUGCGAUAGUGCCGAAAGGAACCUAGAGACAGGUGCUGCAUGGCUGUCGUCAGCUCGUGUUGUGAGAUGUUGGGUUAAGUCCCGUAACGAGCGCAACCCUUAUCCUUAGUUACCAACGUGUUAUGGCGGGGACUCUAAGGAGACUGCUGGUGAUGAACCGGAGGAAGGCGGGGACGACGUCAAGUCAUCAUGGCCUUUAUGGGUAGGGCUACACACGUGCUACAAUGGUCGGUACAGAGGGCAGCCAACCCGCGAGGGGGAGCCAAUCCCGCAAAGCCGAUCAUAGUCCAGAUCGGAGUCUGCAACUCGACUCCGUGAAGUCGGAAUCGCUAGUAAUCGCGAAUCAGAAUGUCGCGGUGAAUACGUUCCCGGGCCUUGUACACACCGCCCGU
This 499-nucleotide ribosomal RNA is filed under the name uncultured bacterium. Its description in RNAcentral is "partial 16S ribosomal RNA". It matches the Rfam family "Bacterial small subunit ribosomal RNA", at positions 899 to 1397 of the family's 1533-position model. The record is from RNAcentral.